AGUGGGGAAUCUUGGACAAUGGGCGCAAGCCUGAUCCAGCCAUGCCGCGUGAGUGAUGAAGGCCUUAGGGUCGUAAAGCUCUUUCGCCAGGGAUGAUAAUGACAGUACCUGGUAAAGAAACCCCGGCUAACUCCGUGCCAGCAGCCGCGGUAAUACGGAGGGGGUUAGCGUUGUUCGGAAUUACUGGGCGUAAAGCGUACGUAGGCGGAUCAGAAAGUUGGGGGUGAAAUCCCGGGGCUCAACCCCGGAACUGCCUCCAAAACUCCUGGUCUUGAGUUCGAGAGAGGUGAGUGGAAUUCCGAGUGUAGAGGUGAAAUUCGUAGAUAUUCGGAGGAACACCAGUGGCGAAGGCGGCUCACUGGCUCGAUACUGACGCUGAGGUACGAAAGUGUGGGGAGCAAA
Molecule: ribosomal RNA, 402 nt
Filed under: uncultured Ruegeria sp.
Lineage: Bacteria; Pseudomonadati; Pseudomonadota; Alphaproteobacteria; Rhodobacterales; Roseobacteraceae
Description: bacterial SSU rRNA
Rfam family: Bacterial small subunit ribosomal RNA
Source: RNAcentral